GACGAACGCUGGCGGCGCGCCUAACACAUGCCAGUCGAACGAGCGAGCGAGAGCUUGCUUUCUCGAGCGAGUGGCGAACGGGUGAGUAACGCGUGAGGAACCUGCCUCAAAGAGGGGGACAACAGUUGGAAACGACUGCUAAUACCGCAUAAGCCCACGACCCGGCAUCGGGUAGAGGGAAAAGGAGCAAUCCGCUUUGAGAUGGCCUCGCGUCCGAUUAGCUAGUUGGUGAGGUAACGGCCCACCAAGGCGACGAUCGGUAGCCGGACUGAGAGGUUGAACGGCCACAUUGGGACUGAGACACGGCCCAAACUCCUACGGGAGGCAGCAGUGGGGAAUAUUGCACAAUGGGGGAAACCCUGAUGCAGCGACGCCGCGUGGAGGAAGAAGGUCUUCGGAUUGUAAACUCCUGUUGUUGAGGAAGAUAAUGACGGUACUCAACAAGGAAGUGACGGCUAACUACGUG
Molecule: ribosomal RNA, 466 nt
Filed under: uncultured bacterium
Lineage: Bacteria
Description: partial 16S ribosomal RNA
Rfam family: Bacterial small subunit ribosomal RNA
Source: RNAcentral